CGAUUUCAUAAAUUCUCACUUUUGAACGGCCGGUGGAAGAUUCUAGAAAAAAAUCGAUUUUUUUUGUGGUUUUUCACAAGUUGAUGGAUGAUCGAUAUGCGUCAACUGCGUAGUUCUGUGCGUAAAGGCCGUGAACCGAUUGUUCCGAACGUAACACACGCGCCGUCACCGGGAAAAGACGAACCGGACGCGCCGACGAGGAGGUUGAGGAGGAGAGGUACAGGG
Molecule: unclassified non-coding RNA, 225 nt
Filed under: Hevea brasiliensis (rubber tree)
Lineage: Eukaryota; Viridiplantae; Streptophyta; Magnoliopsida; Malpighiales; Euphorbiaceae
Source: RNAcentral